Molecule: small RNA, 29 nt
Filed under: Bombyx mori (domestic silkworm)
Lineage: Eukaryota; Metazoa; Arthropoda; Insecta; Lepidoptera; Bombycidae
Description: ovarian small RNA-14552
Source: RNAcentral
CGUCCGGCUGCUUCGGCUUCUGUUCCGGC